GUUCAGAAGGAAAAAUGUGGGUGAUAAUUAAAAUUUGUCUCUCGGCACAGAUAUGUUUUGGAUCACCACACAACUGUUCAUUUGUAGAUUAGACUGUGAAGCACCAUUUUAUUGGAGACAAGUGCACCAUCAGCUGUCAGUGUGGCAGGUGGCAAUCAGCCUGCAAUACUUAGCUGCAGAGAUGGAGAGAAUUUCGCAAGAACAAAUGAACAGGAAGAAAGUAGGACCACUAGCAAAGGGCACCAAAAAAAAAAGAGGACAGCAGGACUUUUUAGAGAAUACAUUAGAAAGAGGCUGGACGUGUGUAGAAUAGAAAAAGCUUUCAGAUCUGCUAUCUUAACCAAAGGACAAUUGUGAGCAGAGUGCUCUACAACAAAGCCAGGCUGCUGCUCAAG
Sturnus vulgaris (Common starling) is the source of this 395-nucleotide non-coding RNA. NCBI's taxonomy places the organism in Eukaryota, Metazoa, Chordata, Aves, Passeriformes, Sturnidae. The record is from RefSeq and is a predicted model, not a curated record.